UGUUUUUUCCCUUCAUUAUCAAUUUAGUUGGUUUGUUGUGAAUCUUGUCAAGAUCUAUCCUUCUUAUUAAAUUUUUGUCCUCAAUUUCCUACUGAAAUGCUGCCAAAAUUUUGUGUGAAUUCUUGCUUGUUUCUCAUAUCAUUCUUCAUCUCUUUGCAACCUUCAAGGAUCGUUGCUUUCACUCAUUUGUCAAGAAGCAACUAAGAUUUACCGACGCUCCUG
This 222-nucleotide long non-coding RNA is filed under the name Hordeum vulgare. RNAcentral describes it as "long non-coding RNA (HVUL_LNC012439)". The record is from RNAcentral. Lineage: Eukaryota; Viridiplantae; Streptophyta; Magnoliopsida; Poales; Poaceae.